RNAcentral lists this microRNA (22 nucleotides) under Monodelphis domestica (gray short-tailed opossum). Its description in RNAcentral is "mdo-miR-7375c-5p". Lineage: Eukaryota; Metazoa; Chordata; Mammalia; Didelphimorphia; Didelphidae. The record is from miRBase by way of RNAcentral.
UAGCCCUUACCCCCCCGACUAG